UACGUAGGGGCCUAGCGUUGUCCGGAAUUAUUGGGCGUAAAGAGCGCGCAGGCGGUCGUUCAAGUCGCGUGUGAAAGCCCCCGGCUCAACUGGGGAGGGUCACGCGAUACUGAUCGACUCGAAGGCAGGAGAGGGUAGUGGAAUUCCCGGUGUAGUGGUGAAAUGCGUAGAUAUCGGGAGGAACACCAGUGGCGAAGGCGACUACCUGGCCUGUUCUUGACGCUGAGGCGCGAAAGCUAGGGGAGCAAACGGG
Molecule: ribosomal RNA, 253 nt
Filed under: uncultured bacterium
Lineage: Bacteria
Description: partial 16S ribosomal RNA
Rfam family: Bacterial small subunit ribosomal RNA
Source: RNAcentral